UUAAAAUACCUCAAUUGGUAGAGCAUAAGACUCUUAAGUCUCAUGGUCAUGGAUUCAAGCCCCAUGUUGGGCAAAA
RNAcentral lists this transfer RNA (76 nucleotides) under Podarcis lilfordi (Lilford's wall lizard). RNAcentral's name for it is "tRNA.Lys". Lineage: Eukaryota; Metazoa; Chordata; Lepidosauria; Squamata; Lacertidae. The record is from RNAcentral.